This 225-nucleotide ribosomal RNA is filed under the name Brachygastra propodealis. RNAcentral's name for it is "partial small subunit ribosomal RNA". Lineage: Eukaryota; Metazoa; Arthropoda; Insecta; Hymenoptera; Vespidae. The record is from RNAcentral.
AUAAAUCAUUAAAUUUAAAAGAUUUGGCGGUAUUUUAUAUAAUUAGAGGAACCUGUAAGGUAAUUGAUAGUCCACAAUAAGAUUUACUUGAUAACUUAUGUAUUGCUGUUUAAAAAUUAUUAUUAAUUAAUUUAUUUUAUUUUUAAUUUAAUUUAAUUCAAGUCAAAAUAUAGUUUUAUUAAGUUAUGGGUUACUGUAUUAUUUUGAAAAAGGAUUUAAUAGUAA